This 836-nucleotide long non-coding RNA is filed under the name Homo sapiens (human). RNAcentral's name for it is "non-protein coding lnc-HIST2H3PS2-11:1". The record is from RNAcentral. Lineage: Eukaryota; Metazoa; Chordata; Mammalia; Primates; Hominidae.
UGGACAAGGCGAAUGAAGAUUCUUCUUGUGUGGGGUCUUUUUGUGGACACGUGCAUUCAUUUCCUUUGAGGAAUACCAAGUACUGGAAUUGUUCAAUCAUAUGAUCGGCCCUUUCUUCAAAUAAGAGCAGUUGGAACAACAAAAGCUGUUUAGUUGUACCCUUGGAAUCCACGGAAAUCCUGGGUAGGGACCUCCAGUACCACCAACUGGAAAGACUGCGGAUGCCUAGUAGCUGGUACUGGCAGUUGUCGUAGGCUUUGUCCACUUUGACAAACUGAAGACGGAGACUCGACUCACCUUCGCCAGCCACGGGAGGACCUCCAGACGAGGCAAUCUGAAGGCAAAUCCUAUUUAGACCCAGGCAAAGGUUCCUGGUGACCCAGGCUCUCACCAGCUGAUAGUCCCUUACCGUCCUCCUGAGGGUGUCUGGAGCUUCAGUGCUGUGUGCUCUUGGCCUCCACCCUUGGGGUGCCACCGACUCCCACUGUCCAGGGCUUCCAGUGGACUCUCCGAGGCACUGACGUAGAAACUUCCCCAUUCAGUGCACCAAGAGCAGCCUCACAUGGUGUGGGCCGACAUGAAGAGCUGCUAGAUCCAACAGGAUGGAAUACAAUGGCGCGAUCUCAGCUCACUGCAACCUCCACCUCCUGGGUUCAAGUGAUUCUCCUGCCUCAGCCUCUUGAGUAGCUGGGAUUACAGGCACCUGCCACCACACCGGGGUAAUUUUUGUAUUUUUGUAGAGACAAGGUUUCUCCAAUUGGCCAAUUUGGUCUCUAACUCUAGACCUCAAGUGAUCCACUUGCCUUGGCCUCCCAAAGUGCUAGGAUUACAGACAU